GACGAACGCUGGCGGCGUGCUUAACACAUGCAAGUCGAACGGAAAGGCACUGCUUGCAGGGUACUAGAGUGGCGAACGGGUGAGUAACACGUGGGUGAUCUGCACUGCACUUCGGGGUAAGCCUGGGAAACUGGGUCUAAUACCGGAUAGGAGCCACUUUUAGUGUGAUGGAUGGAAAGUUUUUUCGGUGUAGGAUGAGCUCGCGGCCUAUCAGCUUGUUGGGGGGGUGAUGGCCUACAAAGGCGGCGACGGGUAGCCGCCCUGAGAGAGUGGGCGGCGACAGUGAGUCUUAGAGGAGGCCCAGACGCCUACUAUAGGCAGCAGGGGGGAAUAUUGCACAAGGGGUGCAGGCCGGAUGCAGAGGCGCUUCGGGUGGGAAAACGGCCUUGGUGUUGUAGACUCCUUGCGCUAGGGACGAAGCUUUUUGCGACGGUACCUAGAUAAGAAGCACCGGCUAACUACGUG
Molecule: ribosomal RNA, 465 nt
Filed under: uncultured bacterium
Lineage: Bacteria
Description: partial 16S ribosomal RNA
Rfam family: Bacterial small subunit ribosomal RNA
Source: RNAcentral